Molecule: ribosomal RNA, 461 nt
Filed under: uncultured ammonia-oxidizing beta proteobacterium
Lineage: Bacteria; Pseudomonadati; Pseudomonadota; Betaproteobacteria
Description: bacterial SSU rRNA
Rfam family: Bacterial small subunit ribosomal RNA
Source: RNAcentral
AAAGCAGGGGAUCGCAAGACCUUGCGCUUUUGGAGUGGCCGAUGCCUGAUUAGCUAGUUGGUGGGGUAAGGGCCUACCAAGGCGACGAUCAGUAGUUGGUCUGAGAGGACGACCAGCCACACUGGGACUGAGACACGGCCCAGACUCCUACGGGAGGCAGCAGUGGGGAAUUUUGGACAAUGGGCGAAAGCCUGAUCCAGCAAUGCCGCGUGAGUGAAGAAGGCCUUCGGGUUGUAAAGCUCUUUCAGUCGAGAAGAAAAGGUCGCGACUAAUAAUCGCGACUCAUGACGGUAUCGACAGAAGAAGCACCGGCUAACUACGUGCCAGCAGCCGCGGUAAUACGUAGGGUGCGAGCGUUAAUCGGAAUUACUGGGCGUAAAGGGUGCGCAGGCGGCUUUGUAAGUCAGAUGUGAAAUCCCCGGGCUUAACCUGGGAAUUGCGUUUGAAACUACAAACCUAGA